RNAcentral lists this ribosomal RNA (512 nucleotides) under uncultured bacterium. Its description in RNAcentral is "partial 16S ribosomal RNA". It matches the Rfam family "Bacterial small subunit ribosomal RNA", at positions 29 to 529 of the family's 1533-position model. The record is from RNAcentral.
AUUGAACGCUGGCGGCAUGCCUUACACAUGCAAGUCGAACGGUAACGCGGGGCAACCUGGCGACGAGUGGCGAACGGGUGAGUAAUAUAUCGGAACGUGCCCAGUAGUGGGGGAUAGCCCGGCGAAAGCCGGAUUAAUACCGCAUGAGACCUGAGGGUGAAAGCGGGGGAUCGCAAGACCUCGCGCUAUUGGAGCGGCCGAUAUCAGAUUAGGUAGUUGGUGGGGUAAAGGCCUACCAAGCCGACGAUCUGUAGCUGGUCUGAGAGGACGACCAGCCACACUGGGACUGAGACACGGCCCAGACUCCUACGGGAGGCAGCAGUGGGGAAUUUUGGACAAUGGGCGAAAGCCUGAUCCAGCCAUGCCGCGUGCAGGAAGAAGGCCUUCGGGUUGUAACUGCUUUAGUCUAGGAAAAGGGGUAGGACGGAGGUUAAGUACCCUACGUGACUUUGUAUGGUACUGGAAGAAUAAGACACCGGCUAACUACGUGCCAGCAGCCGCGGUAACUAGUA